Molecule: non-coding RNA, 29 nt
Filed under: Mus musculus (house mouse)
Lineage: Eukaryota; Metazoa; Chordata; Mammalia; Rodentia; Muridae
Source: RNAcentral
UGAUAAACGAUUUAAAGUAAAAAGUUACC